Molecule: RNA transcript, 2285 nt
Organism: Chinchilla lanigera (long-tailed chinchilla)
Lineage: Eukaryota; Metazoa; Chordata; Mammalia; Rodentia; Chinchillidae
Gene: Alg11
Gene name: ALG11, alpha-1,2-mannosyltransferase
Exons: 5
Source: RefSeq, a predicted model, not a curated record
CCCUUCCCACUGAUGCCCCUGCGGGGUCGCCCCUCUAGGCGGGUCCGUGAGCGCCGAACAGAGCAGGUCUACGCCCCGGCAGAUUCUAUUGGUUGGAAGGCCGUGGGAAGCGGCCAUAAGUAACCAAUUGAAACACACAACCGGCUCGUGAGGGCGGGGAGAGUACCGCAAACUUCCUAAGGAGCCAAUAGAGAAAAAGAACGCUAAAGAGCUUCCUGAGUUCGGGAGUCGGCGGAAGAUGGCGGCCUCCGAAGGGCUCGGUGCGUGUGUGAGUUGCUGAGGUGAGGGGCCGGUCGAGCGGGCUCGCAGGCGGUACCUGUCCGGUCGUGGUAGUUGCCCGUCCAGUGCAGCUCAAGUCUGCGGGGAACGGCCUGCGUUGGCAUGGAUCUGGGAUAUUUUCUCAGGUUUUUUUAUGCAUUAUUCUUCCCUGGGCUAAUUGUGUGUGGAAUUUUAUGUGUAUUUUUGGCCUUUGCCCUUUGGGGAAUCAGAUGGCUGCUACAGAGAAAGAAAAGGUCGAUGUCAGCCAACAAGAAUGGGAAAAAUCAAAUGGUGAUUGCAUUUUUUCACCCAUACUGCAAUGCUGGUGGAGGAGGAGAAAGAGUUUUAUGGUGUGCCCUGAGGGCCCUGCAGAAAAAGUAUCCUGAAGCAGUUUAUGUUGUUUACACUGGUGACAUUAAUGUCAGUGGUCAACAGAUCCUAGAAGGUGCUUUCAGAAGAUUUAACAUCAGAUUAAUCCACCCCGUGCAGUUUGUGUUCUUAAGGAAACGCCGCCUUGUGGAAGACUCACAGUAUCCUCGCUUCACACUGCUGGGCCAAAGCCUAGGGUCCAUUUUCCUCGGUUGGGAAGCGCUGCUGCAGUGUGUUCCUGACGUUUACAUUGAUUCAAUGGGUUAUGCUUUCACCCUUCCUCUGUUUAAGUACCUAGGGGGUUGCCGAGUUGGAAGCUAUGUUCAUUAUCCCACAAUCAGCACUGACAUGCUCUCUGUAGUGAAGAAUCGAGAUGCUAGAUUUAAUAACGCAGGCUUCAUUACCAGGAACCCUUUUCUCAGCAAAGUGAAGCUCAUCUACUACUAUUUAUUUGCUUCUCUUUAUGGACUUGUUGGUUCAUGCAGUGAUGUUGUCAUGGUCAAUUCUUCUUGGACCUUAAACCAUAUUCUGUCACUGUGGAAGGUCGGGAAUUGCACGAACGUUGUUUAUCCACCCUGUGAUGUACAGACAUUUCUGGACAUUCCCUUACAUGAGAAAAAGACAAUCCCAGGACAUUCAGUGGUUUCCAUUGGCCAGUUCAGGCCUGAGAAGAAUCAUCCUUUGCAAAUCAGAGCCUUUGCUAAGUUGCUGGGUAAGAAGGUGGCUGAGUCCCCUUCACUGAAACUUGUCCUCAUUGGAGGUUGUCGUAACAAAGAUGAUGAACUUAGAGUAAACCAGCUGAGGAGACUGUGUGAGGACCUGAAAGUUCAAGAAGAUGUGGAAUUUAAAAUAAACAUUCCAUUUGAUGAGUUAAAGAAGUACUUGUCUGAAGCAACGAUUGGGCUGCAUACCAUGUGGAACGAACAUUUUGGAAUUGAUGUUUCCAGACCAUCAGACUGUUAUAAUUCAAGCUCCAAAUGCAACUGAAAUAUAAUCCAUGGCUACAAAUCAUUGAGAACUUUUCCUCUGAGAAAUUGGCCCAAAAUAGGCAAGCAUCAUUACUGAGCUUCCUAGAGCACCCUGUAUCCAGCUAGCAAGAAUGGAGGGGCCAGUGGAGAAGACGAGAAUACUCAAGGUGUGUAGGAGGCGCACAGGGAAAGGAAGAGAAGGAAGAAAAGCAGUGUAAACGGAGUCUCCAACACAAAAUAAACGCAUGAAUAAGUCUAAUGGACUGAGGGUGAUCAUCUCCCACCAGCAGGCGGUUAUGGAGCAGAGGAGGAGAAACAGGUGGAGUAAACCCUCAUUUUGGAUGAGAUGAGGGAGAUGUGUAAAAUAUGGAAAAUGAUGCAAAAUUUGGUGAAAAGAAAAAAAUGCACCACCUGAACAAGGCUGUAGUGGUGGGAGUGGUGAAUCUGUUUAACAACAGUGCAAUGUCACAUUUCCACGAAAUCCUCAAAAGGAGGCAAAAGCAAGUGUCACUGGCUGGGUUCCUUGUUAAAGCUGCACGAAAAGAAAAAGAUUCCAGUGGGCCCAUAGACAGCGGUGAUUCUGUUAGUGACAGUGACUCAUCCUCCUCUCUCCUGUCCGCCUCACGCCAGCAACCAAGGUUUUCAAAGGAAGUGAAGGUUAAUUUUUUCUAUAUAUUUUUUAUUUUCUUU